GGCCGGCGCCCUAUCAGCUAGUGGGUGGGGUAAGGGCUCACCAAGGCGAGGAGGGGUAGCGGCCCUGAGAGGGGGCCCGGCCCCACGGGGAUUGAGACACGGCCCAGAUUCUUACGGGAGGCACCAGUGGGGAAUAUUGCCCAAUGGGGGAAACCUUGAGGCAGGAACGCCGCUUGGGGGAGAAGGUCUUUCGGGUUGUAAACUUCUUUCACCAGGGAAGAAGCGAAAGUGACGGUACCUGCAGAAGAAGCCCCGGCUAAUUACGUGCCAGCAGCCGCGGUAAUACGUAGGGUGCAAGCGUUUUCCGGAAUUAUUGGGCGUAAAGAGUUGGUAGGCGGUUUGUCGCGUCGGCAGUGAAAACCCGGGGCUUAACCUCGGGCUUGCAUUGGAUACGGGCAGACUAGAGUGCGGUAGGGGAGACUGGAAUUCCUGGUGUAGCGGUGGAAUGCGCAGAUAUCAGGAGGAACACCGAUGGCGAAGGCAGGUCUCUG
This 491-nucleotide ribosomal RNA is filed under the name uncultured bacterium. Its description in RNAcentral is "bacterial SSU rRNA". It matches the Rfam family "Bacterial small subunit ribosomal RNA", at positions 228 to 731 of the family's 1533-position model. The record is from RNAcentral.